AAAAAAAGAUGCCUUGAGGUUCCGGGGGAUUGAAAAUUGACUGUUUAAUCUUUGUCGUCUUCUUCUUCAUGUAAGUCAUGGUUGAGACGUCAUCAUGAAUGGACAGGAGCGUAGAGUCGUGUGGAAAUGAAGCCCCUUUUCUUUUCUGGGUGCAUAUUUCAGCCAAACUUUGUUCGUGCUUGUUUUUUUCCAUCAGACUUUCAAUAAUUACAUCUUCAUAUUAAUAUUUAGUCUUCACGCCUCUUGGAAAAGGUUUGUCUUUGGUGGAUCUGGUUUGAACCUUCUUCUCCCAGUUUGUGGUCACAAAUUCAAGGAUGAAAAGAAUUGGUUUCCAUGGAAAUAUAUACAAAUUCAACGUCUGAAUAUUUUAAUAUUAAUAUUGAUAUCACUGAUCAUUUCAUACGACUAUUUGGUUCAUAACCAACAAAUGAUGGUCUAGCCAUAAUUUUUCCCCGUACUGCCGAGGUUUUUUUUUUAUAAAAUGGUCUAGCCAGAACUUAUUACAUACUUAAGAUAAAGAUUAUGAUCACUUACUUUCUUAAUUAUUUGUUAUCAAAGCUUAAAAUAUUGCUCUCCCCUUUGUUACAAAAUCAGGUGUUCAGAAAUACACAUCGUGUACCUUCUUAUGACACGUCCCGACCCCGAUAUUCCCUGAUUAUCAGAAUAGGCACGUGUUGCCCGACACUCGAGGGUGACGAAAGCCAUUUAUUGAGUGCAAAUGCUGAAAACAAGGGAUAGAUAAAACUUAUAAAUGUAAAAUAAUAAGGAAUAUGCAUUUAAGGAACGUGUUCAGAGCACACAUCUAAUCUAGAACACUAAAAGAAUUAAUAUAAAAAUUGAAUGAACACAGAAGUGGGUCUUACACCGAGAGGACUCGAAGAUACCGAUGCAGAAGUGCCUGGAUGUCAGGAUUGUAUGCCUCGAUUCUAAGUCAUGAAGGGAGCGCAAAACAAACAUGAGUGGACCAAUUUGAUAUAUAAAUAGUAAAACAGUUAUCAACGUACUAACCCCCAGGUUUUAUGAAAACACAUAUAUAAUGAUAAACAUAGGUUUUCCGAAACCUAGCAUGCCGUGCAAAAUCUCAAAUCAUAACUUGUAUAUAUAAUAAUCACUAGUGAAUUGUCCGAUAACCCCUAGGCCCCAUGUCGGCUCCCCGUCUCUGAGCAGACAGUCAGAGGAAAAUACACUUCAGGCCCCAUGCCGGCUCCCCGUUCCUAUGCUAAAUAGCCAAAAGAAACACACUCCAGGCCCUAUGCCAACAUCAAACCAUCGCCCGGGACGGACCGGAAUCUAUCCCUAUGUCCCGUAGCGGAAAGGACCACUAGGUAAAUACAAAACCAUUGAACAUAUAUAUAUUGAAAAGCAACUUCAUAGUAUAAAGUCAUCCAUCAUCUAUACUAUAAAGAGGUGUUCGAAACAUGUUCUAAAUAUUAUAUCGUCAUCUACCGGAUAUUCUAUAAGAACAUGGGUUAUAGGAAAAAUAGUAAUAAUUCAAACUAGCCUUAGUAAGCAUGUUAUCUUAAAGUGUUUCAUAAAACGUAAUCAUUAAAUCAUGUUUUUCAUGUAUACAUUUCUACUAUUAAAACAUGCAUUUUUAGAAGGGGUCCACUCACCGUACACCGAUGGUGCAAAGCUGUACCAAAAAGGUAUAGCGGAAUCACCGCUAAUAAUUGCACAUAUUCACAUAAAGGAGUACCUUUAGUCAAACUAUAUUUAAACGAUUGAAUUUGAGAAAACGGACUUCAAAAACGGGUCCAGGACGUCGAAAUUAGCUUAUGAAAGGUCCUGGACAAAACCCUGAAAAGUCAAUUAAAAAAUCAACGUUGAUUGUUGACCGGUCAACUUCAAAGUCAACUCUGACAGUUGACCGAGUCAACGUUGACCGUUGACCAAGUCAACAGUCAAGGUCAACUGGUCAAAUGUCAAAGUCAAAUUUGGGCUUAGAUUGGGUUGGGCUAAAAAGGCCUUAGGGGUUUUGGGUUUUAAACUAAGGGUUAAUGGGUUUGGAAACUCAUAUUGGCCCAAGGCCUAAUCUGCUUGGUUCUAUACACACACACACACGGGCCUAAUGCCCUAAAUAGAAAAUGGCCCAAGGCCUUAUUUCUAUAACAGAAACUAAAAAGGUUUUUAGGUUGGGCUAGAGGGCUACGGGCCCUAAUCCUAAUGGCCCGAAGGCCUUUUAGGUCCUAAACUAAUUAAUUAAAAACAAAAGAAAAACAAAUGGGUUAGGGGGAUUGGGCUAGGCUCACCACACGGGCCUAAGGCCCGCUUGACUCAGAAACGGCUUGGAGGGCCUGGUUUCGUCGGAGAACAACGGAGCUUCAACAGCUCCGGCCGACCACCACACGCAACCCUAGACCUCGAUCUAGGUAUCAAAACGAAGAGCAAGACAAAGGGAGUAACUAUAUACCUUCCUUUCGUCGUGGAACGGCCGGAGAUGGCCGGAAUCUCCCCUUACACCCUCAGGAUCGCCGGAGAUGGGUGUGCCUACACCCGAGGUGAUUUCGUUCUAAAAACCUCCAAAAACACACAUAAAACUCAAUUAAAAAACCCAACCCACAAGAUUCUAGGAUGAAAUAGGGAAUAUUUGAGGCUUACCUAACCGGGAAAUAGGAAAUCUCGCCAGAAUUCCUUUUCCGGUUUUCUGGGUUUGCAGCACGGGAAAGAGGAAAAAGAAGGAUGAGAUUGAUGGUGAUGAUGGUCUUCCUCGCACAGGGGAAAUGGUGUGCGUGUGUGUGCUUGCGGUGGAGAGAAGAGAGAUAUGAGAGAGAGCCGAGAGGGAAAGAGACAGGACAGACAGAAACGAAGAAGAAGAAGGAAUGGGGGUUCACCGGGGGGGGACAGAGGGAGAAGUGAGGUGAGUGAAGGGGGUGCUGCCAC
RNAcentral lists this long non-coding RNA (2880 nucleotides) under Malus domestica (apple). RNAcentral's name for it is "long non-coding RNA (MDOM_LNC009754)". Lineage: Eukaryota; Viridiplantae; Streptophyta; Magnoliopsida; Rosales; Rosaceae. The record is from RNAcentral.